AUGCAUGUCUAAGUAUAAAUAGUAUACAGUGUAAACUGCGAAUGGCUCAUUAAAACAGUUAUAGUUUAUUUGAUAGUGCACAUUACAUGGAUAACCGUGGUAAUUCUAGAGCUAAUACAUGCGCAAAUACCUGACUCACGAAAGGUAGCAUUUAUUAGAUUUAACCAUCAUAUGGUGAAUCAUAGUAACUUGGCGGACCGCGCUCCGGCGUGGUAAAUCAUUCAAGUUUCUGCCCUAUCAGCUUUCGAUGGUAGUGUAUUGGACUACCAUGGCAGUCACGGGUAACGGAGAAUUAGGGUUCGAUUCCGGAGAGGGAGCCUGAGAAACGGCUACCACAUCUAAGGAAGGCAGCAGGCGCGUAAAUUACCCAAUCCCAAUUCGGGGAGGUAGUGACAAGAAAUAACAACCUGAGUGGUUCGCCACUUCGGGAUUGCAAUGAGAUAAGUCUAAAUCCGUAAGCGAUUACCAAUUGGAGGGCAAGUCUGGUGCCAGCAGCCGCGGUAAUUCCAGCUCCAAUAGCGUAUACUUAAGUUGUUGCAGUUAAAAAGCUCGUAGUUGAAAAUCGAAUCAGCUUCAUUAUGGCUUCGGUCAUACUUGUUAGCUGGUUCUCCGUCUACAAACCUUUUUGCUCUUUUACGAGUGCAGCUUGGAGAGUAGACAAUUUACCUUGAAAAAAUUAGAGUGUUCCAGGCAGGUCUUCGCCGGAAUACAUUAGCAUGGAAUAAUGGAAUAGGACUAUGGUCUUUUGUUGGUUUUAGGGCCAGUGUAAUGAUUAAUAGGGACAGAUGGGGGCAUUAGUAUUUAAUUGUCAGAGGUGAAAAUUCUUGGAUUUAUUAAAGACUAACUUAUGCGAAAGCAUUUGCCAAGGAUGUUUUCAUUAAUCAAGAACGAAAGUUAGGGGAUCAAAGACGAUCAGAUACCGUCGUAGUCUUAACUAUAAACUAUACCGACUCGAGAUCGGAAGGUGCUCAAUAAGGCCCUUUCGGCAUCGUAAGAGAAAUCAAAGUCUUUGGGUUCUGGGGGGAGUAUGGUCGCAAGGCUGAAACUUAAAGGAAUUGACGGAAGGGCACCACCAGGAGUGGAGCCUGCGGCUUAAUUUGACUCAACACGGGGAAACUUACCAGGUCAAAACAUGGAUGGGAUUGACAGAUUGAAAGCUCUUUCUUGAUUCUAUGGGUGGUGGUGCAUGGCCGUUCUUAGUUGGUGGAGUGAUUUGUCUGGUUAAUUCCGAUAACGAACGAGACCUUAACCUGCUAACUAGUUUGUACCUAAAAAAGGUAUAUAUCUUCUUAGAGGGACUAUGUAUGUUAAAUGCAUGGAAGUUUAAGGCAAUAACAGGUCUGUGAUGCCCCUAGAUGUCCUGGGCCGCACGCGCGCUACACUGACACGUUCAGCGAGUUUAAUCUCCUAUCUCGAAAGGGUAUGGGAAAUCUUGUUAGGACGUGUCGUGCUGGGGAUAGAUCUUUGCAAUUAUAGAUCUUGAACGAGGAAUUCCUUGUAAGCACAGGUCAUCAGCCUGUGCUGAAUACGUCCCUGCCCUUUGUACACACCGCCCGUCGCUCCUACCGAUUUCGAGUGAUGUGGUGAACUAUCUGGACUGUGGACGGGCUUGAACCGUUCGCGGGAAGUUUCGUAAACCU
Molecule: ribosomal RNA, 1640 nt
Filed under: Paramecium nephridiatum
Lineage: Eukaryota; Ciliophora; Oligohymenophorea; Peniculida; Parameciidae
Description: SSU rRNA
Rfam family: Eukaryotic small subunit ribosomal RNA
Source: RNAcentral